AUCUACACGGUGAGGUAGUUCAGCAGCAGGUGAAACUGAUAACUUGUAGUUGCGUUGACCAUCAUCUGCACGGUGAGGUAGUUCAGCCAUAGGUGAAACUGAUGACUUGUAGUUGCGUUGACCAGCAUCUAUACGGUGAGGUAGUUCAUUAGUGGCAGGUAAAGCUGAUAACUUGUAGUUGCGUUGGCCAUCAUCUACACGGUGAGGUAGUUCAGCCACAGGUGAAACUGAUGACUUGUAGUUGCGUUGACCAGCAUCCGUACGGUGAGGUAGUUCAUUAGUGGCAGGUAAAGCUGAUAACUUGUAGUUGCGUUGACCAUCAUCUACACGGUGAGGUAGUUCAGCCACAGGUGAAACUGAUGACUUGUAGUUGCGUUGACCAGCAUCCGUANGGUGAGGUAGUUCAUUAGUGGCAGGUAAAGCUGAUAACUUGUAGUUGCGUUGACCAUCAUCUACACGGUGAGAUAGUUCAGCCAUAGGUGAAACUGAUGACUUGUAGUUGCGUUGACCAGCAUCCGUANGGUGAGGUAGUUCAUUAGUGGCAGGUAAAGCUGAUAACUUGUAGUUGCGUUGNCCAUCAUCUACACGGUGAGNUAGUUCAGCCANAGGUGAAACUGAUGACUUGUAGUUGCGUUGACCAGCAUCCGUACGGUGAGGUAGUUCAUUAGUGGCAGGUAAAGCUGAUAACUUGUAGUUGCGUUGGCCAUCAUCUACACGGUGAGGUAGUUCAGCCACAGGUGAAACUGAUGACUUGUAGUUGCGUUGACCAGCAUCCGUACGGUGAGGUAGUUCAUUAGUGGCAGGUAAAGCUGAUAACUUGUAGUUGCGUUGGCCAUCAUCUACACGGUGAG
This 851-nucleotide long non-coding RNA is filed under the name Oryza sativa (Asian cultivated rice). RNAcentral's name for it is "long non-coding RNA (OSAT_LNC001925)". Lineage: Eukaryota; Viridiplantae; Streptophyta; Magnoliopsida; Poales; Poaceae. The record is from RNAcentral.